Molecule: long non-coding RNA, 1073 nt
Organism: Apus apus (common swift)
Lineage: Eukaryota; Metazoa; Chordata; Aves; Apodiformes; Apodidae
Exons: 3
Source: RefSeq, a predicted model, not a curated record
UAUGUACAGUGAGGAAAUUGGAAACGCAUGUGUAAUGUUCAAGGAAAGGCAGGUGAUACUACUGCACUUUCUCUCAGAUUCUUGCCAGUUUACAUUGUCUACCAGGGAAGCACUGUUUGUUCAGCGUCAACUGACCACUGGGUUCUAAGCUGAUCACUUGGUUCUUCACCAGUCUGAUGUCCUUAGAAAUGAUGACUGUAGAUUCAGGCAUCUUGAAUAUAAUUUUUCUGGUUUUAAAGACAGAUGUGGAGCAGAGAAGACUAGGAAGAAGAAGACCCCAAGCCGAAUGCUGAUUGGAAUUUGAAGUAUUAGAGGGGACCUGGGAAUCUCGAGGCAGAAAACCUGCUUAGGAGGAGCACCCGCUUCACCCCUCAGCACAGCAAGAAGAAAACCUAAGCUCAGUUUCCAGCUCAAUCAACAAAUUAGCAAAAGUGUCUCUGUUGAAUAUAUAAGUAGGUUGAAGGCCUUCAGACUCCCUGUCUGUACUUGAUUGUCUACUUUUGUAUACUUCUAGGAAUGAGGAAUCUGUCCAUGACUCUGAACACUUCGUGUUGUAUGCAAUUAUGUUUAAAGUGUGGUGUGAGGAGGGAGUAUUUCAGCACAAGUGUUGCAUUUCUUUAGCUAAUAAUUUACAUUAUUUAACAUGCCUUUUCUGUGGUAACUGAGAGGAUUUGGUUAUAUCCAUUGCCUUUGAUGUGAAAGAUCACCUCCUUCCCAUCUGCAAUUACUCAUUUCUUUCCCACUUCCAUUAAUACCUGCUUUAUCCAUUGUGUUAGGGGAAUGUUUGAGGAGCUGGACUGUAACCAGGUAACCAAAGUGACACAAAACUGCUGCAUUUGGGCAGAAGCAGCUGGCCAGAGGUAAGGGCAAUAGCAAGAAUCUGUAAAUUGGCUUUGUUUCUGCCACCCACAUGCUGCUACACUCCAAACUAGCUAGUGCAGUAGAGGACAAACAGUCAGCACAUUGGGUAUUGACUUUCUCCUCCACAGUAUCUUGCUUGUAUCCAGGUCUCAGAUCACCUGCCAUGGUGACCCAAGGAUGUUAAAUAUUCUCAAUUUAAUAUAAGAUGUGCA